AGCUGGUACAGAUGAGAACGUGAGAGCCAGGACAAAGGACCUCCGCCCAGGCUCUGGUUCGGCUGCCAAGACGAACGGUGACGCUGAUCUUGCCUCCAUCACCCGCAUCUUGCAGUUCUGUUCGCACGGCGAGGUCAGCGAUGCGGGGCGUGGAGCCCAGGGCAGCGAUGCGGGGCGUGGAGCCCAGGGCAGCAGCGGGGCUCCGCCAGGGCGGCUGGGGUUACCCAUCCCCGCUGAGGCCCCCACCACUUGGCAAGUGCAGGCCACAAGGCCGCAGCCACGUCUCACCUGGAAUGUCCAGGUCAAGCUGUGCCAGCAGAUUCCAUUAAAUCUAGACCUUCA
Manis javanica (Malayan pangolin) is the source of this 342-nucleotide long non-coding RNA. RefSeq lists it as uncharacterized. The record is from RefSeq and is a predicted model, not a curated record. NCBI's taxonomy places the organism in Eukaryota, Metazoa, Chordata, Mammalia, Pholidota, Manidae.